Molecule: transfer RNA, 72 nt
Filed under: Thermotogota bacterium
Lineage: Bacteria; Thermotogati; Thermotogota
Also listed under: 1 other name
Description: Thermotogae bacterium (hydrothermal vent metagenome) tRNA-Gln
Rfam family: tRNA
About the family: Transfer RNA (tRNA) molecules are approximately 80 nucleotides in length. Their secondary structure includes four short double-helical elements and three loops (D, anti-codon, and T loops).
Source: RNAcentral
UGGGGCGUGGUGUAAUCGGUAGCACGCCAGACUUUGGAUCUGGUAGUGGAGGUUCGAGUCCUCCCGCCCCAG